This 299-nucleotide long non-coding RNA is filed under the name Elaeis guineensis (African oil palm). RNAcentral's name for it is "long non-coding RNA (EGUI_LNC017810)". Lineage: Eukaryota; Viridiplantae; Streptophyta; Magnoliopsida; Arecales; Arecaceae. The record is from RNAcentral.
UGUGAUAUAUGAUAAUGAAAAUUUUUAAAAAUUAAAAUAUUUGGAUCCACGCUAUCUCCAUAUUUUUUCUUGGAUCAUCAUCUUUCUAACUACUCUAAUGUUCGUAGCAUACCUACCUACCUACCUAUCUACUAGUUGCUAUUUGAUUUAUCAUCCUUUUCAUCCACCAAAAAAUUUUAUGACACAUUCCGAUGGAACAAAAAGAGCAAACAUUAUAAUUUGAUAUACGUAAACAUUCAAGUAUUCUUUCUUUUAAAACAUCGAGAUAGUUCUGAAUACAACACUCGGUAUGCAGGCAU